UUGGUGUCAAGCAUGACAGCACACAGGAUCUGAGUAUUCUGCAUCGCAAUCUUAAGAUUGUUCAAUGUCUCCUGAUGGUACUCAUGGGUCCCAUGAGAAAAGUUAAACCUGGCAACAUUCAUGCCAGCACGGAGAAGCUUCUCCAGCAUUGGCACUGUUCUAGAAGAUGGCCCUAACGUGCAAACAAUCUUGGUCUUUGGAAUACGGCCAUCAUUUGGGAGAUCCUUCAUGAUUCCAGCUAUGUCUAUGUUGGCCAUUUCUUCUAUUUAUCAGUCACUACAAAAGUCACAGAUCAAACUACAACACCCCUUCAAGAUUUUACUUGUACUGUUUGUUGUGCUUUUGCCAGAUUCAACUACCAGGUCUAAAACUACACACAAAACACAACUAUUUGGCUUUAUAUUUAUAGGGAUAAGUAGGA
Molecule: unclassified non-coding RNA, 421 nt
Filed under: Hevea brasiliensis (rubber tree)
Lineage: Eukaryota; Viridiplantae; Streptophyta; Magnoliopsida; Malpighiales; Euphorbiaceae
Source: RNAcentral